RNAcentral lists this long non-coding RNA (898 nucleotides) under Marmota monax (woodchuck). The record is from RNAcentral. Lineage: Eukaryota; Metazoa; Chordata; Mammalia; Rodentia; Sciuridae.
GCUGAGGAUAUAGCUUAGUUGGUAGACUGUUUGCCUCAUAAGCACAAGGCCCUGGGUUCAAUCCCCAGCACCACACACACACACACACACACACACGCACGCACGCACACACACAACCUCCCUAAAAGUAUAUGGGAGGAUGAGUGUAAGUUCUGCGCAAAUUCUGUGUCAUUUUCUAUAAGGGAUUUAAGCAUCCAGGGAUUUUGAUAUCCAUGGGCAUGAGGGUGUCCCAGAACCAAUCUCCUAAAGAUUCUGUGGGACACCAUAUUAUCCUCAUUUUACAUGACGAAAUUGGUCUCCAGAGAGUUAUGCAACCUAACAAGUUCAACUAGUUGCUAAGUGGUGGAUCCUGCCUAGGACCAAUUUAGGGUUGGUGACCUCCAAUGCCCUCACCUUUUCUACUCCAUGCAUUGCUGUCACUAAUGAGAACCUGGGGACAGGAAUCAAGAGGUGUUGCUGAGGACUUGUUGAGAUGGAGUAAUGGAUUAAAAAGGUGACAAAUUCUUUGCCACUCCUCCUAUUAAGAGUAGUAUCGAUACUGUCUCCUCUUGAAUUUUAAUGAUUUGCUAAUCCAACAGAACAUGGUAGAAAUGACCAUAUCCUGGAACUUCUGAAGCUAGGACAUAAAUGUCUUGCAACUUCUACGUGGGACUCCGGACAUACUUGCUCUUGGAACACUAAGCCUCCCCUAAGUUUAACUACAUUGAGACUGCUAUCCUAGAGAGGGCAUGGGAAGGACUGCAGGGAGAUGCUUUGAGCCUGCAAGAAAAAAAGAUGUUCUCCUGUCUCCUACCUGUCCCCAGCCAUUUGAGUCAUGCGCUCCAGACAUUAUGGAGCAGGGAUGAGUGACCACUGCUGAGCCCUGCUUGAAAUGCAAAAUAAAGGAUUAUUGUUGGUU